This 267-nucleotide ribosomal RNA is filed under the name Acinetobacter pittii. RNAcentral's name for it is "partial 16S ribosomal RNA". It matches the Rfam family "Bacterial small subunit ribosomal RNA", at positions 1 to 271 of the family's 1533-position model. The record is from RNAcentral. Lineage: Bacteria; Pseudomonadati; Pseudomonadota; Gammaproteobacteria; Moraxellales; Moraxellaceae.
AACUGAAGAGUUUGAUCAUGGCUCAGAUUGAACGCUGGCGGCAGGCUUAACACAUGCAAGUCGAGCGGAGAGAGGUAGCUUGCUACUGAUCUUAGCGGCGGACGGGUGAGUAAUGCUUAGGAAUCUGCCUAUUAGUGGGGGACAACAUUUCGAAAGGAAUGCUAAUACCGCAUACGUCCUACGGGAGAAAGCAGGGGAUCUUCGGACCUUGCGCUAAUAGAUGAGCCUAAGUCGGAUUAGCUAGUUGGUGGGGUAAAGGCCUACCAA